AGUGAACGCUGGCGGUAGGCCUAACACAUGCAAGUCGAACGGCAGCACAGUAAUAGCUUGCUCUUACGGGUUGCGAGUGUCGGACGUGUUAUGAAUACAUCGUAAUCUACUUUUUCGUGUGGGUUAACGUAGGGAAACUUACGCUAAUACCUCAUACUACCUACGUUUGUAAUCAUUGGAUCUUCUUACCUUUCGCGUUUUUAUUAGCCUAUUUCGUAUUAGCUAGUUGGCUUGGUAAAGGCCCACCAAGGCGACGAUCCGUAUCUGGUCUGAGAGGAUGAUCAGCAACACUGGAACGGAGACACGGUCAAGACAACUACGGGAGGAAGCAGUGGGGAAUAUUGGAAAAUGGGGGAAAGCAUGAUACAGAAAUACCGAGUGGGUGAAGAAGGACUUAGGGUUGUAAAGCAAUUUUGUUGGGAAAGAAAAGAAGCAGGUUAAAAAAACGAUGUAAUGACGGUACCAAAAGAAUAAGCACCGGCUAACUUCGUG
RNAcentral lists this ribosomal RNA (492 nucleotides) under uncultured bacterium. RNAcentral describes it as "partial 16S ribosomal RNA". It matches the Rfam family "Bacterial small subunit ribosomal RNA", at positions 29 to 507 of the family's 1533-position model. The record is from RNAcentral.